Molecule: long non-coding RNA, 372 nt
Organism: Monodelphis domestica (gray short-tailed opossum)
Lineage: Eukaryota; Metazoa; Chordata; Mammalia; Didelphimorphia; Didelphidae
Source: RefSeq, a predicted model, not a curated record
GUGACUAGCACUUCCUUCCUGCCUUGUGGGUCUUGUGUCCUGGUGUUGGAGGAGAGAGGAGCUUGUUCAGCCCAGUCUGGAGUGGCAUGCUCUUCUUGGUUCAGCCCAAAGACACAGGCUUCUAAAGGUGGAUAUCCUUCAAAGUUGUCCUAAAGGAGAGCACGUUGAGAAGUACUGCAAAGCCUAGUCUUGGGCUUUCUACUUUUGCUGAAAUGUUGGUAGCACAAAAGAGGAGGUGCCAAAGAACUGGUGAAGAAAAGAGCACAAGAGUUAAGAGAGACCCAGAAGAAAAUUCCCUCAGUUGAAUGAAGUUUUCUCACAAUAUAGAAAGUGGAUCAGAUUCAUAAUUAAAUAGAAAAAGGAAUGAAACUA